Molecule: ribosomal RNA, 483 nt
Filed under: uncultured bacterium
Lineage: Bacteria
Description: partial 16S ribosomal RNA
Rfam family: Bacterial small subunit ribosomal RNA
Source: RNAcentral
AUUGAACGCUGGCGGCAGGCCUAACACAUGCAAGUCGAGCGGAUGAAGGGAGCUUACUCCUGGAUUCAGCGGCGGACGGGUGAGUAAUGCCUAGGAAUCUGCCUGGUAGUGGGGGAUAACGUCCGGAAACGGGCGCUAAUACCGCAUACGUCCUGAGGGAGAAAGUGGGGGAUCUUCGGACCUCACGCUAUCAGAUGAGCCUAGGUCGGAUUAGCUAGUUGGUGGGGUAAAGGCCUACCAAGGCGACGAUCCGUAACUGGUCUGAGAGGAUGAUCAGUCACACUGGAACUGAGACACGGUCCAGACCCCUACGGGAGGCAGCAGUGGGGAAUAUUGGACAAUGGGCGAAAGCCUGAACCAGCCAUGCCGCGUGUGUGAAGAAGGUCUUCGGAUUGUAAAGCACUUUAAGUUGGGGGGAAGGGCAGUAAGUUAAUACCUUGCUGUUUUGACGUUACCAACAGAAUAAGCCCCGGCUAACUUCGU